CGCGGCGGCGUGCCUAAUACAUGCAAGUCGAGCGGACAGAAGGGAGCUUGCUCCCGGAUGUUAGCGGCGGACGGGUGAGUAACACGUGGGUAACCUGCCUGUAAGACUGGGAUAACUCCGGGAAACCGGAGCUAAUACCGGAUAGUUCCUUGAACCGCAUGGUUCAAGGAUGAAAGACGGUUUCGGCUGUCACUUACAGAUGGACCCGCGGCGCAUUAGCUAGUUGGUGAGGUAACGGCUCACCAAGGCGACGAUGCGUAGCCGACCUGAGAGGGUGAUCGGCCACACUGGGACUGAGACACGGCCCAGACUCCUACGGGAGGCAGCAGUAGGGAAUCUUCCGCAAUGGACGAAAGUCUGACGGAGCAACGCCGCGUGAGUGAUGAAGGUUUUCGGAUCGUAAAGCUCUGUUGUUAGGGAAGAACAAGUGCAAGAGUAACUGCUUGCACCUUGACGGUACCUAACCAGAAAGCCACGGCUAACUACGUGCCAGCAGCCGCGGUAAUACGUAGGUGGCAAGCGUUGUCCGGAAUUAUUGGGCGUAAAGGGCUCGCAGGCGGUUUCUUAAGUCUGAUGUGAAAGCCCCCGGCUCAACCGGGGAGGGUCAUUGGAAACUGGGAAACUUGAGUGCAGAAGAGGAGAGUGGAAUUCCACGUGUAGCGGUGAAAUGCGUAGAGAUGUGGAGGAACACCAGUGGCGAAGGCGACUCUCUGGUCUGUAACUGACGCUGAGGAGCGAAAGCGUGGGGAGCGAACAGGAUUAGAUACCCUGGUAGUUCCACGCC
This 784-nucleotide ribosomal RNA is filed under the name Bacillus pumilus. RNAcentral's name for it is "bacterial SSU rRNA". It matches the Rfam family "Bacterial small subunit ribosomal RNA", at positions 34 to 801 of the family's 1533-position model. Lineage: Bacteria; Bacillati; Bacillota; Bacilli; Caryophanales; Bacillaceae. The record is from RNAcentral.